AUGCUCACUUUGGCAACACAUAUACUAUAAUUGGAUAAUACAGGGAAGAUUAGCAUGGCCCCUCUCCAAGGAUGACAAGCAAAUUCAUGAGGCAUUUCAUGUUUUU
Molecule: small nuclear RNA, 106 nt
Organism: Gorilla gorilla gorilla (western lowland gorilla)
Lineage: Eukaryota; Metazoa; Chordata; Mammalia; Primates; Hominidae
Source: Ensembl